GAUGAGGAAGAAAGGAUGCAGGUGGAUGUGGAAGACCAGGUUGAGGAGAUGGAAGUUGAUGAGGAGGAUGACAUCGAGGCGAUGGAAGUGGAUGAGAAGGAUGAGGAGGAGCCCAUGGUCCUUGGAUGAAGAUGGAGCCCCACAAGACUGAUGCAGAUGAUGGCCGUACAUAUUACGCCUGUGUAUAUAUGUUUGAAAAGUUAGGAUAUUUUUGUAAAUAUGUUCUUAGGUUAGUAGUUCUCUGUAAAUAUGUUUUGAAGAUUCUUAGUCCAUAGGAUCCCAUGUAAAGAAAUCCUGUAGUUUGUUAUUGUUGUUGUUGUUGUUAUACGGAUUGUUGUAAUGAAAGGUGUUCUGUAAAUCCUAGAGUUUUGCAAUCUUUGGCAAAUAAAUACGGCUUCUUUUUAAAA
Long non-coding RNA from Passer domesticus (house sparrow), 407 nucleotides. RefSeq lists it as uncharacterized. The transcript has 2 exons. Lineage: Eukaryota; Metazoa; Chordata; Aves; Passeriformes; Passeridae. The record is from RefSeq and is a predicted model, not a curated record.